GAGUUUACCUACAGAGUUUCCCACUUUAGUCUGAGUUUCCCACUUCAGAGCUGACUUAAUUGUGUCACUUUGAUAAUUUUUUUUUUAAUUUAAGUAUUAGCAUUAUCGAUUGUAACAGAUAUUAUAGUUAAAUGUCUUUGGCUUCUGCUGAGCAUAACCAUCUGCAGCAGCAAGCCAAAAUAAUAAAGAUCUUUUCAAGUAAAUUAAUUUCUAUACACUAGAGGUUAUCCUGCAUUGCAACUGGCAGUUAAACAGACCUGGUGAUAAAGAUGAGUGUGUCUUGAGACUAUAUAGUAAAAUAACUAUGUUUAUCCAAAGCUAAAAAGCAGCAGUGGUAGCUCCUUUCCUCUGUCCACAGUCCACAGUGUAAAUUGCUACAGAUAAAACUGUCUCACUAAUGCAAUUCAUGCUUUUAAUCACGGUAGCUUUGAAAACAUACUGGAUAAUACAAUGGCAUAGGUAGCAAUACAAAACAGUUAAUCUGCUUAAUCUAUUUCAAUUUUAAAGCAAUACUGCAAGUGCGAACUAAUGAGAAAUAUCAAAACAGAAGCCAAAUAUUAACAUCCAUAUUUGUCAAACAUUUUUCCUUUUAAGGCUUUUUUUUUUUUCUCCCCAAAGGCAAUGAGAAACAACAGAGGUAGUACUAGGGGACAAAUGCAAGAUCUACUGCAUUUCAUUUAAUCAAGACAAAUGUAAGUACUCUUUCUCAAUACAGCAAAGUACUUUCUAAAAUAAACAGCUAAUGCUAAAACACUGCUAGGCUUUAAUACAUCAUUUAUUUUAGAUAAGGUAGUAAACUACAGAUUUUUACUAUGUUUUCAUUUUUCAUAUAUAACAGAGCAUGGUUUCACUUACCAGAUCCUCAAACUACUAAGAGGAGAGAUCCGCUGACUUAUGAUUCCACUACUUUUGAGGAUCUGGGCCUAAGUAUAACUUGUUUAAUCAUUCCAUCUGAUGAUGGACAUCAAAUAUGUUAUACAGGUUGGUUUUUGUUUUUUACACCAAACGGAACACUACUUUACAGGAAGUCAGUACACAUUAUUUAUGCUAUAGCAUUUGUCAUCUGUAAAGCAUGACUAAAAAUGUCUGACUGUUACAAAGGCAAUUUUUAGUCCCCUUCAGAAGUAUACUCUUAAAUUCCAGACUAAUGAAAAUCACUGUAGAACAGUGCAGAAAGGCUUUAAGUUCUUUUGGGCAAUACAACACGAGUACAAGCAGCGGCAAUCUUGCUAACUCAUGCACUUAGACAGUCCUGUGAUGCUCAAAUUGCAAGUACCAGACUGCUCAGAGUGACCCUAGCAGGCUCUUAGCUAGAUUUCCUUUCAAAACCUGAGCUGAAAAGCAGAUAACAUGAGCACAUAACCUUCGCUCCAAGCCAGCCAAUGGGGGGAGUGGGACCAUGCCUAUAAAAAUAAUUUGCGUAUUUAGCCAAGUUUCUGUCAGUAGACCAAAAGCCAAAACUCAGGUAAAUAUAGGCACACUUAAUGAGGUAAGAGCGAGUACUGAAUUCUGAAGACUGCACACAAUUUGUUGUGUACUUGCAAGGAAAUGCUAGACUGAAGGAUUUCCUCCUUCUAUAAAGUUUAUCUAUUGCCACAGGAUACCCAUACAUCUUGUACAUUAAAUCUGUGCACAAUUCCAACAGCCUGAACACCUAAUUCUAGUAAGUAAAACUGCCCCCUUCAUUACAUGACACCAACUGCUUCUGUAUUAUUUUUGGAUCAAACUUGAUAGGCUUUAUGUUCCUUACCUGUAGAAUUACUUACCUCAUCGUGCAUCAAAAUAAUAUGAACAAGAGUUGUCUUAAUAGAUCUAUUUCUGAUAAGAAAGUUAAAGACAGUGCACAGUAAAUAAACCGUAUUUUAAUGUGUUACAAAAGGAAUUAAGUCAGGCUACCUCUCCAAACAGAUGUCCAAUCCUACUAGGUUUGACAAAGAUUUCCUUUAGAUAGCUUGAGAUGAAACAGCUUUUCACCUUUUUCUUUCUCUGCAUCUGUUUUGUAACACAAAUACCAUAUACAUUCAUGGUUAAUUUUUUUCACAUAGAGGCAGUCUGCACAAAGCCCAUAUCUUACAAAAGCUGUUACGGCUGGUGAAUCAUAUCUGUAAGAGAUCACUUGCAUUUGACUGUGUAUCAUAUCACCAAAAUAAUAUACAAAAAUCAGUUCAAGAAAAUUACUUCAGUAACAACCAAGAGACAGGAGGACAAGAAAGUGAGCAAGAGCAGUAGUGUGUCAAACUUUGAGCUAAAGCACAAAGCAAAAAAAUUGUUUUUAAAUUUGCCAGGUAUUCUCGUAAUGAGAAAUGUAAAAAGACUGAAAACAUCUCAUUCUGACUGCCCUUUCUUUGUUUUUUGGUGUUUUUGUUGUUAAACAAAUGGCCUGUUGUAUAGUUACAAAUGCUGUGUAAGACAAUACCUUCUUUGUACUGGAAAACCAACAACCAGAAGGAUGCAAUAGAGUUUCUAAGCAUCUCUAAAUUUGAAAUGUGAUUUUUUUUAGAUGCGGAAAAAUCUUUGUAAUUCAUUUUGUUAGAUCAUAACUCAAAGUACAACAACAUCUAGACCUGUUUUUAAAGGAGCUUUCUUUCCUGAUACAUCUUUGAACAUAAUUACUCCUUGCAAGUUCAGUACAUUCACAAAAUAGCUCAAUUAAGAACAGUAUCACCAAUUAAUUGACUACUGGAAAGAGACAAAAUUUACCAAACAUACAGAAAUAUUAAUUUUACCAUAGCAAUUAUGCAUAUCAAAAAAUGACACCUGUAGUUAAUUUUUAAAGAUACAAAAAAAAAAAGAGAAAAACCUGAAUUACAGAAAAGAAAGUCAUAUUUAUUUAAUGAAAAAACUAGAAGUUAAUAAAAAUUAGCAAAUACACAAAAAAUAUACACAAACAGCAGCAAUACUAUGUAGUGACUUACAAAGGAGGGGGGGAGGAGGGGCGCGGGAAGCAGCGGCCAAAGCCCAAACCGCUCAACAUGGCUUGUCAGUCAAAGGGGGAGGAAAAGAACACAAACAAAAACACGAAACAGUAUCCUUUUCAACAGUACAAUCAAUCUACAAACAAGUUUUUAGAAUUAUUUUACAACAUUUCCUGUAGAAUCAAUUCUUAAUACAAAAGAUGCCCAUUUUGGGUGUAUAUAUAUUUUCAGUGGUUUACUGUUGACUUAUUUUAAAUAUAUUAGUGUUACUACAUGCAACUGCUUCCUGUAAUUUAACAGCCUUUCCUUUAUUUACCUUCAUAUAUGUCUAUCCUCCAUCUACCAAAUAAUUUGUCUGACAGUGAACGAUGGUUACCCUAGUUUCUGCUAAAUUAAAUGCAAUGGUUUUAAACACUGGCCUGAAGAGGUUUGAUUGCCAUUUCAACACAUCGAUAUAGUAACGUUGAUGCCUAAAUUGCCAUUUUCUGCAAAGAGCUGUGCAAUGCUGGUGUCAAAGACUAGACAGUCACUAUUCAUAAUGGCUGUUGCAAUUCCCUCAUGGAUAGAUCGAGGAGUUGCUUCCCAAGUCAGUCGCCGCCUAUGACCAUUUAACUCAAGUCGAUAAGCAAAGUUUUCUGCUUGCUUCCGUGUUCCUAUCAGCUGUACAAUCGCAAAGAACUGCUGGUGACCAUCAUAUUUUUCCUGUUUCUCCAAUACUAACAUGAAAUGAAAGCCAAAACAAGACUGCAUCAUAACCCAGUCAACAGCACCAGGAAGAUUAAUGUCUGUCGCAAGGAACACUAUAUCUUCUCCCUGAAGUGUUGUAAUUGACUUAUGUUGAUGCAUCAGAUGUGGCAUUACAGCAUCCAGAGAACCUUGCCAUUUACACGAAGCACCAGGACAUGGACAGGAAUAAGGCCUAAACUCACAUAGCUCCUCAUGGUCUGCUUUUUCUGUGUGUGGCAGAGUUAUCUCACAUCCAGAAGAGGCAUAUUUACAUGGGAACAGUACAGAAUUGGCAACUUUCUCCAUAGCCAGGUUACGAAUGGAGCCCAGCGGGCCUCGGCAAGUUGGACAGCACGUAAGUUUGGGGCGACAGUUGCUACAGACAAGGUGGCCACUCUGACACUGAAGAAUUGGUGGCAGCACAUAGUCAAAACAGACAGGACACUCAAAGAGACUAGCCAAGUCAUUAUUGGAAGCUGUAGUGCCCGUCAGCGCAGGCACCCUCUGUGAUGGCGUACACUUUGAAGUACCUGUAGGUAGUGCUGUAGCAGUCUGACGGCUCAUUUCUGUGCGCGCUGGGCCGGGAGGUCCUCGCUCAGACGGCCUGGCUCCCCGAUGGCGCGGGCUGCGGGACGACGUGCCGCGCGGCGCUCGGCGAGACGCUGGGUGCCCGGCCCGACCCGCCCGCGCGCUCCCUGCCUCGCUCCCUCCCGCCUGCCGGCCGAGGAGACACCACCACGGGGGCGCGCCGGCUGCGGCGGAGCUCUCCUGCCUGCCACGCGCGCUCCCGAGGCGGGCGGGCGGCGGCGGCGCGCG
RNAcentral lists this long non-coding RNA (4457 nucleotides) under Gallus gallus (chicken). Lineage: Eukaryota; Metazoa; Chordata; Aves; Galliformes; Phasianidae. The record is from RNAcentral.